RNAcentral lists this long non-coding RNA (895 nucleotides) under Nicotiana benthamiana. RNAcentral describes it as "long non-coding RNA (NBEN_LNC012198)". Lineage: Eukaryota; Viridiplantae; Streptophyta; Magnoliopsida; Solanales; Solanaceae. The record is from RNAcentral.
GCCUCCAUUUGUUGGUGGGAACCGACAGAAAGUUCAACAGAAGAUUAUCAAGGACAAGAUUAAGCUGCCAGCAUUUUUGUCUAGCGAUGCACAUUCAUUGUUGAAAGGGGUAAGCUACAUUUUCAUUCUAUGAUAUGAAAGUGUACCGUCUUACUGAUAAUCAUCAAUGGUAGACACUUCUUAUAAGAUAAUAGACACAUCUAUGAUAUGAAAGUGUACCGUCUUGCUAAGAAUCACCAAAUGGUAAGACACUUGUUUAUGAUAAGAUUAUAGACACUAUAUCUCUUGAUUAUCCCUUUAAAUACUUCAGCUUGCAUGUCAUGUAAGAAUUAUGUUAGUAUAUCUUUUUUUAUGCUAUAGAUGAAGCUGUUAAUCAUAUUAAGAAGUUGCGUCAUGUUUUGUUUUCCCAGAAAAAUGAAGAGGUAUCAUAAGUGGAAAAAUGUUAUAUGUCGAUUGUGAGAAAGCACGGGAGAAGAAUAUAACUGAGAUUAAACAUAAUACAAUGAGCCCUAUAUAUAAUACUAAUAACCUAGAGUUCUACUAUAACUAGAGUUCUACUAUAUUUACAUAUCUAACAUCGAUAUUUCCUUUAGAAGAUUGAGUUAAGUUGCAAACAAAAGUAAUGCUCUAAGAUAGAUCACUAUGUACAAGUUAAUUAUUUAGGGGCAGUAUAGGACCCGAAAAUAUUUUAAAGGGCUUCAUUUUCAUAAAAAAUAAUGCUUACUUUCAAGACAUUUCUAGUAUAAGAAAGGUAACUUCCAUAUAAAAGUAUAAUAGUGUGCCGUCAUCUUUACUUGGGAUAAUUUGGAAGCCCAUACUGCUUAGCUAGUGUUUUGAAUCAAUUAGUGUAUAAUACCAUUCAUCAUGCUAUAUUCUAUUUAUCAUUUAGUUACUG